UCUGCCCCUAGAAAGCAAGUGUGGCUACUGUGUCGCAUGUGUCGGUAGGUGGCAGAAAGGAGAGAAGCUAUGUCAAUAUUUAGUGGUCUGACUUGUGUAAGACUGAAUCACUAGUAGCCUGACAUU
Molecule: small nucleolar RNA, 126 nt
Organism: Acomys russatus (golden spiny mouse)
Lineage: Eukaryota; Metazoa; Chordata; Mammalia; Rodentia; Muridae
Product: small nucleolar RNA SNORA17
Exons: 1
Source: RefSeq, a predicted model, not a curated record